Non-coding RNA from Colossoma macropomum (tambaqui), 1049 nucleotides. Lineage: Eukaryota; Metazoa; Chordata; Actinopteri; Characiformes; Serrasalmidae. The record is from the annotation of a RefSeq genome assembly.
AUGAAAACAAGGCUGAAGAGAGCGGCGUGUUUAGAGCAGGAGGUUUUUGUACAGCCAGUAAACGAGUUUGUAUCACUGUGGAGGACUUUUGGUGGAGGAACCAAACUGUCAGUUGGACGUUUGGCCCAGCCCACCCUCACGGUCCUGCCCCCCUCCAGCGUGGAGCUGCAGCAGGGGAAGGCCACACUGGUGUGUUUGGCCAAUAAGGGCUUCCCCUCAGACUGGACGCUGAGCUGGAAGGUGGACGGGAGCAGCUGGAGCGCGGGGGUUAGCCAGAGCCCCGGGCUUCUGCAGAAGGACGACGGCCUCUACAGCUGGAGCAGCACCCUGACCCUCCAGGAGGACCAGUGGCUAACGAAGAAGACAGUGACCUGUGAGGCCACCAAGGACUCCCAGACUCCUGUCAGCAAAUCACUGAGCAGAGAGCAAUGCACUGGGCAGUGAGCGUCCACGCGUGUGUUGGAGCUGCUAGAGCUCCUCUUGAUCUUCAGUGAGCUCAAACAUGGCUCUGCUUAAUGCUCUGAUCUUCAUCUCAUCAUUUCAUCAUCACAAUAAAGAGUUUCAGUAUAAAUAUCUUCAGUCUUUCAUUGAUUAUUGUGUUAUUUUCUUUUUCCUGAAACAGCAACAAUAAACAUAUAAACAUUUUUUGAUGUAUAAUUUACUGGAAACAAGUCUGUUCAUUUCUUUAAAAAUUAAAGCAUUUCGAUUGGAAUAACUGCAGUGUUUCAUCUUUUCUGUCAUGAUAUUGGAGGAUCUAUCAGAAUAAACAACAUGAGACACAAUGAUUAAGUUCAUAAGAAAUGUAUUUGUUGUUGUUAAUUUUUUCCAGUGUCAGAGAUUCAAAAAAAAGGUCAAACAAAUGAAGAAUUAAUUAAGACAAUAUUUUUUUAUAUUGGGUAACAAAUGCAUGAAUAUACAACAUUAUUUUUUUAACCAAUCAUAAUAAAUGUUAACGGUUUCUAAAAUUUUCCAUUUCUAUGAAAUGGAACAAUGAUCAAACAAAUGAACAAAUGAGUAAAUAAAUAAAUAAAUAAAUAAAUAAAUAGCUC